CAGAUCUCCCACCGGCAGCACUCGUGGUUCAAACUGCCGCCACCGUCACAGGCAGGAGGGCCAGGUGGAGGAGGACGCGUGCUGCUGCCUGCUGCGGGCGCAGGAGCUGCUCGAGAAGAUGGCUUCUGCAGGAGGAUGGCUUUUGAGAAGACUGGAGAUGCUGGCAAGAGCCAGUGACAUAUCGGCUGAUAAAGCAAGUUCCCAGCAAGGAGGGACCUGGGAUUAUCCGUCAGCCACAGCGGUGGUGAAAGGUGCUGGAUUGACAAGCUGUGGAGACGGAAGGGCCUCUGGACUCCGCUGAAGUUUACAUUUACAAAGGACACAGAGAAUAAAUAGAAGACAGUGUUUAGAGUCCUCUGUAGACACUUCAGACUUGCUUAUAAUUCUGCAGCAAUUCCAUCACCUCCGAAGUGAUUGAUGCUCUCUAUAAAGUCUUGCCUUAAAACAUUUUCCUAUGUGUCAGGGGAAGAAGUUUAUUACACUUUACUGA
This is a long non-coding RNA of Grus americana (Whooping crane), 490 nucleotides long. RefSeq lists it as uncharacterized. The transcript has 3 exons. The record is from RefSeq and is a predicted model, not a curated record. Lineage: Eukaryota; Metazoa; Chordata; Aves; Gruiformes; Gruidae.